This 254-nucleotide ribosomal RNA is filed under the name uncultured bacterium. RNAcentral's name for it is "partial 16S ribosomal RNA". It matches the Rfam family "Bacterial small subunit ribosomal RNA", at positions 526 to 779 of the family's 1533-position model. The record is from RNAcentral.
CAGAGGGUGCAAACGUUGCUCGGAAUCACUGGGCGUAAAGGGCGUGUAGGCGGGAAGCUAAGUCAGGUGUGAAAUCCCCAGGCUCAACCUGGGAACUGCACUUGAAACUGUCUUUCUUGAGUGUCGGAGAGGAAAGUGGAAUUCCUGGUGUAGAGGUGAAAUUCGUAGAUAUCAGGAGGAACACCGGUGGCGAAGGCGGCUUUCUGGACGACAACUGACGCUGAGACGCGAAAGCGUGGGGAGCAAACAGGAUU